This is a non-coding RNA of Castor canadensis (American beaver), 2304 nucleotides long. The record is from RefSeq and is a predicted model, not a curated record. Lineage: Eukaryota; Metazoa; Chordata; Mammalia; Rodentia; Castoridae.
AAAAAAAAAAAACAGUCCCUCUCAUAGCACUUUGGGAAAACACAGUAGAAAUGCCUAGUUAUCCUUACUUGCCAUGGAUGUGCCCAGGAUGAAAGCUGAUGUUUAAGGUAGGAAGGACUUACACAGUUCAGGAUGGCUAGUAACAAUAUUUACUGCAUGACUAUGAUGUGCUCGGAGCUAUGCAAAACACUUGAAAGUCAGUAUAGGUACAGAGUGGAAAGCCCAUGGCGAAGGUAAAGACACUUCAUUAUCUACCACAAAAAUAAUCUACUUUGUAAACCUACCUGUAUCUCUUGGGGAUGGUUUAUCUUGAACAUCUACUAAGACAUUUAAAAAUGUAUUUGCUGGGCCCCCACUCAGCGACCCAGCUUGGUGCCCGCCCGACUUCUCAGCGGCCCCGUGCAGCCCGGGCCCUGGGAGCGCCCGGCGGAGCAGUGGCCGAGCGCGGAGGAGCCCAGCGGCUGGGGUUGGGGUGGGCGCCUGGGCUGGAGCCGCAACGGCAGGGCUGCGGGGUCCUUCAUGACGAGAGAUUUUGGGGCAUUUCUCUCUCCUCUGUGUAGUUGAUAGUCUGGGUGGUGAAGAGAUGGCUGACAGUGUCAAAACCUUUCUCCAGGACCUUGGCAGGGGAAUCAAAGACUCCAUCUGGGGUAUUUGUACCAUCUCAAAGCUAGACGCUCGAAUCCAGCAAAAGAGAGAGGAACAGCGUCGAAGAAGGGCAAGUAGUGUCCUAGCUCAGCGUAGAGCCCAGAGGAUAGAGGGAAGCAGGAGAGAGUCACGUAUUGUUCGUAGAAUCUUCCAGCGCUGUGCUUGGAAUGGCGGAGUAUUCUGGCUCAGUCUCCUCUUGUUUUUAUCCAGUGUUUAUUCCUGUGCUUCAGUCAGUAACAGCCUGAAUUAUUGGUGAUCCAUCACUGCAUGGAGCUGUUUGGUCGUGGCUGGAAUUCUUCCUCACAUCAGUUUUCAGUGCUUUGGGUGCUCCCCGUUUGUGCUUAGCAAAGUUGUGAAUGCCAUUUGGUUUCAAGAUACGGCCGACCUGGCAUUUGAGGUGUCAGGGAGGAAGCGAAAUAACUGCUGGCAUGCUCUUCAGGCUUCUGCUACAGGCUCCUUUCCUUUUCCGGGGGUGUCUGUGAGUCUCUUUCCCAUCCAUCUUGCUGGUCAGCUGGUUAGUCUGCUGCAUAUGUCCCUUCUCUUCUCCCUGUACUGCUUUGAAUAUCGUUGGUUCAAUAAAGGAAUUGAAAUGCACCAGCAAUUGUCAAACAUGGAAAGGAACUGGCCUUACUACUUUGGGUUUGGUUUGCCCUUGGCUUUCCUCACAGCAAUGCAGUCCUCAUACAUUGUCAGUGGCUGCCUCUUCUCUAUUCUUUCCUUUAUUCAUUAUCAGCGCCAAUGAAGCAAAGACCCCCUGGAAAAUCAUACCUUUUCCAGUUGCGCCUCUUCUCCUUGGUGGUCUUCUUAAGCAACAGACUCUUCCACAAGACAGUUUACCUGCAGUCUGCUCUGAGCAGCUCCACCUCUGCAGAGAAGUUCCCUUCACCACAUCCAUCUCCUGCCAAACUGAAGGCUGCUGCAGGCCACUGAGUUGCCUGCUCUCCAGAGGGUAUGGGUGGAAUUGGAUGGAGGCUGUGGCAGCUCUUUUCUCUGUUCUCCCAUGCCAGGGAAGGCAGAAUCCACUCUGCCAAGGGCCCUCUGCAUUUUCCCUUCUCCUUGAGGAAUUGGGAUUUUUGACUCUGGUGCAUGUUAGGCAGAAUUUUCUUGACACCAGUAUGUGGAUUUUUACUACCACCAUGAGUCUAAAAGGACCACAGGUUUUCCUGCAGCUAUUUUCUAGCAUUUGCCAGCCCCUGUGCCUGGACUGAUUUGAAUACUUUGUUUUUCUCCCUGUGCCAUUUUCCCUCCCAUCUUUUUCCUGCCUUCCAGCACCCUUGCAUGAAAGGAUUUUGUAUUUCUAGCUGUUGUAUUUUGUGGAUUUGUUAUUUUUGUUGUUUUUCUGUGAAGCACAUACAUUGGAUGUGGGAGGUAGAGGAGUUACCUCAGUUGCUCCUUAACACUCCCUUUAUAGUCAUCACUGUCAUGUUUCUUGUAACUCAGGUUAGGUUUUGGUCUCUCUUGCUCUACUGCAAAACAAAAAGAAGGAGAAAAAAAGAGCCUGAAGAGAUGGGACAAAAGGAAAGACCUUACAGCCAGAUCAGCUGGUUUUGAGGAGUAAUUUUCUUUCUUCCCCUUGAAGGGGAAAAAGAUUUUUUCACUGGUCCAUUUAAAGUUCCCCAAUAAUGAGGAGGUACCAAUUCUGGACAAGGGCCACUGCAA